This 2702-nucleotide long non-coding RNA is filed under the name Papio anubis (olive baboon). Its description in RNAcentral is "lncRNA (ENSPANG00000039369.1)". Lineage: Eukaryota; Metazoa; Chordata; Mammalia; Primates; Cercopithecidae. The record is from RNAcentral.
UACUUUUUCAGUGCCUAUGAACUUUGUGAAUUUUCUAGAGUAAAAUGAGUCAGAGAGUAAUUCCAUCUUAUUGGCCAAAUCAUGGUAAGUAGUGAUUUUUAGUCAUAGAAGCAGCCUCAUCUUCCUCUGUCUCCUUAUUGAGAAUAGACAAUACAGGAAAAUACAGCAGUUCCAAUUGUGCUAUUCGAAAAAGAGGCUCUCAUUUGGGUACUGAUUCUGGUUUAAGAUAGGUAAUAAAUGGAAAGAACAUGGAGAAAUUGUAGCAGUUGAUGACACAUAUUAAUGAGAAAUUUUGCUGGAGAAAAUGCCUUUUUUUCCUCAUACUACAAUCUUAGGACAGGGGAAUAAUACACUUCACUUUUUCAAGGUACCUUUUUCAAGGUACCUAUAUAUGUGAUUUAGUAAAAAGCACCAAACAUCAUUUAAUCACCAUUGUAAAUAAUAUCUGCUUGAUGUUGAUUGAGGUAUUUUUUGGUUAUGCUUAUUAUGUUCAUUCUUUUACAGAGUUGAAAUUUCUACCUUUGAACCAUACAGGUCAUUUUGUUAUUGUCAGUGGUCAGCAUAUCUACUGAGUUGUUGUGAACCAGGAGACAUAUCGUUAAGGCGAUUAUCCAUGUUGAAGAGAUACACGUCGCUGCUGCUUGCUUGAUGUGGCUGCAACACCAAAACUGUUUUGACUAUUCUAGAAAUUGGAAACCUCACAGACAAAAAGAAGAAGUUAAUAUACCCUUGGAGAAUUACACUAGAGAAAAUGUGUUUAUCUUACAUUAAAGAGACGGAGUUUCACCACGUUGGCCAGGAUGGCCUCAAUCUCCUGACAUCAUUAUCUGCCCGCCUCAGCCUCCCGAAGUGCUGGGAUUACAGGCAUGAGCCACCAAGCCUGGCCUACUUCUUAAUGUUAUCUCUGAAUUUGUAUUUUUAAGUAAAUUCUGAUUGGAUAAUGCAUCAUGUGUCCGGGACUUGAAGCUGCUACUCCCUCAUUAUCCUGCCACCUGAAAUUUUGCACCUCACAGGGCGCCAGCCUUGCUGCUCUGCCCAUUGAUCUCUGCCACCCUCCAUACCUGGUGUGAGUUACCACCGGAAGUAGUCUGUGGCAGCAGCAGCCUUUGCCUUAUUCUGACAGUGCCAAAGUGGGUUUGGUGGGUGACUCAGCUCAGUUGAGCCUCUUGCCAACUCCCAACACAGGUGCAGAGUGCAUCUGAGUGUGGAGGUUGUUGACUCUUAUGACAUGAGAAGUGCAAUGUGGACAUAAAAUUGUGAAUGAUGUGACUAUUCGAACAACACAAACAGACACUGGCAAGGAUCUGUUUCGCUAACAAAGCUACACAACUGCAGCAGAAAAGCUCCAUGGAGGAAGAACUACAGUGCAAAUAAAGGUUUCCACCUGCCAAUGAUGCUAACAAAGUGGAGGAAGGGUCACAGCAGGUCCCUCAGAAACCUUCCCCAGCCGCUUUCAUGAAAUUAACACCCUUCACUAUUUUCUCUUCCAAAAAGUAAAGAUUUUCUCUUUAAUAUCUCAUGCCUCUUCCAGCUUUAUUACUCUGUGAUUAUGUGUUCAUUUUUAAGGCAUAAUAAAUAAGAAAAAAAUGAGAUUAUUUGAGUUUACUUUUUCUAAAAGUUCAUUCUAGAUGCAAUAAAUAAAGUUAGUAAAAUGCAGCAAAAAGGCUAUAUAAUAUAUAUACUCUUUAAGAAAAAAUGCUUAACAUUUUUACCCCUUUAAUUUGCUUUCAUGAGUCCAUGCAUUUUGUUGUACUUAUCAUGGCAAAAUUUAUUUGUGAAGUAUAUAUCGUAAAGUCUUGCUCUAUGGUCAACAAACUUUAGUUAACUUUUAACUUUCAACAUAACAUUAGAUAUUCACCUCUCCAUUUGUUUGGAGUUAAAUUGUCAUUGCUCAUUUGCUUUUUUAUCUAAAUUAAGAUUUUCUUUAACUCAACACAAUAAACGCCAUAUAUGCCAAGCCCACAGCUAACAUCAUACUCAACUGCGAAAAGCUGAAACAUUAUCCUCUAAGAUCAGGAAGAAGACAAAUAUGCCAACUUUCCCUUUUUCUGUUAACAUUGAAUGGGAAGUCCUAGCCUGAGAAAUGAAGUAAGAGAACAAACUACAGGCAUCUACAUUGUAAUAGAAGUUAAAUCGUCCUUGUUUGCAGACACAUGAUCUUAUAUAUAGAAAACUCUAAAGACUCCACAAAAAAACUGUUAGAACUAAUAAGCAAAUACAGUAAAGUUGCAGAAUAAAAAACAAACAAAAAUCACCUGUGUUUCUAUGCACUACAAAGAAACUGAAAAGGAAAUAAUUAAUCUAAUUUAUAGCCAUAUCAAGAAAAAUAAAGUACUUAAGGAAAAAAUUUAACAAAGAUGGUUAAAAAAAAAACCUUGUACACUGAAAACUACCCAAAACAAUCUAUGUAUUCAAUCCAUAGCUAUCAAAGUUCCAAUGACACUUUUUUAUAGAACUAGAAAAACAAUCCUAAAAUUUGUAUGAAGCCACAAAAAACUCUGACUAGCCAAAGCAAUGUUGAGCCAAAAGAACAAAGCUGAUUGCAUCACAUUGCUUAAUUUCAAAUCUAAAACAAAGCCAUAGUAAUCAGAUCAGUAUGGUACUGUUAAAAAAAUAAGACACAUAGACCAAUGGAACAGAAUAGAGGACCCAGAAAUAAUUUUAUGAAUUUACAGUUAAUUGAUUUCUGACAAAGAUUCCAG